This 292-nucleotide ribosomal RNA is filed under the name uncultured prokaryote. RNAcentral describes it as "partial 16S ribosomal RNA". It matches the Rfam family "Bacterial small subunit ribosomal RNA", at positions 505 to 796 of the family's 1533-position model. The record is from RNAcentral.
GUGCCAGCAGCCGCGGUAAUACAGAAGUGGCAAGCGUUGUUCGGAUUUACUGGGCGUAAAGGGUGCGUAGGCGGUUUCGUAUGUCGGACGUGAAAUCCCAUUGCUUAACGAUGGAACUGCGUUCGAAACUGCGGGACUUGAGUGCAGGAGAGGAGAGCGGAAUUCUUGGUGUAGCGGUGAAAUGCGUUGAUAUCAAGAAGAACACCGGUGGCGAAGGCGGCUCUCUGGAAUGUUACUGACGCUGAGGCACGAAAGCGUGGGGAGCAAACAGGAUUAGAUACCCUGGUAGUCC